Molecule: ribosomal RNA, 497 nt
Filed under: uncultured bacterium
Lineage: Bacteria
Description: partial 16S ribosomal RNA
Rfam family: Bacterial small subunit ribosomal RNA
Source: RNAcentral
GAUGAACGCUGGCGGCGUGCCUAAUACAUGCAAGUAGAACGCUGAAGCUUGGUGCUUGCACCGAGCGGAUGAGUUGCGAACGGGUGAGUAACGCGUAGGUAACCUGCCUCUUAGCGGGGGAUAACUAUUGGAAACGAUAGCUAAUACCGCAUAAAAGUCGAUAUCGCAUGAUAUUGAUUUGAAAGGUGCAAGUGCAUCACUAAGAGAUGGACCUGCGUUGUAUUAGCUAGUUGGUGAGGUAACGGCUCACCAAGGCGACGAUACAUAGCCGACCUGAGAGGGUGAGCGGCCACACUGGGACUGAGACACGGCCCAGACUCCUACGGGAGGCAGCAGUAGGGAAUCGUCGGCAAUGGGGGCAACCCUGACCGAGCAACGCCGCGUGAGUGAAGAAGGUUUUCGGAUCGUAAAGCUCUGUUGUAAGAGAAGAACGAGUGUGAGAGUGGAAAGUUCACACUGUGACGGUAACUUACCAGAAAGGGACGGCUAACUACGUG